UCCAGCCUAGACCCAAAGCCCAAAAUUGCCAUCAGUUACUUCUCAACUCUUCUCUUGAAGUGCCCGUUCAACUUUCAAGAGAGAGAGAAAAAAAUCGAUCGAUGGCGGGAAUGGCAGAAAUGCGGAGGAGACAAGGAGCAGACCAUUAGCUCCUCCUGCUAGAGGUUUUCCUCCUCCGCCUAUUGAUCGUGAGAAGACAUGUACUUUAUUGCUUCGGUUUUUCUACCAAGGUUGGAGAACAUCAUAGCAAGGAGGAUUUUGCUGUGAGAGGCAAGGAGCCGAAAGACGAGGUUCAGAUUUAUACAUGGAAGGAUGCUACUCUUCACGAGUUAACUGAUCUUGUCAGAGUGGUGACACCAGCAGCUAAGAGAAGAGAUGCAAGACUGUCCUUUGCUUUCAUAUUUCCUGAUACAAAUGAUCGUUUUGUUGUAAGAGAGUUGUGAAUGCUCUAUUGCUUAAUGAAGGUGGGCAAGACCGAUUCUCAUAGAAAUGGGAAGUUAGAUGACAACAAAGCAUUGGCUCAGCUUGGCUUCCAGAUCGGAGAUUACUUGGAUGUGGCAAUUCUAUAGAGGCUUUACUAUGUCAUAUUUAGGUAAUUAGGCUGCACAUUGUUAGGUUCUAUUCAGUAGGCUUGAGAUGUAUAGCAUGAGCAGCUGGACCUGAGAUCUGCUUAUUUUGUAUUAUUAGAAACUAUAAAGGGAUGGGUAGACAGCAGACUAAAAAUCAUCAUGUGCGUAGAGUUUCAACAUGUUGUAGAACAGGCUGGUACGUAUUGCAAUUUGAAGAAUACGUGACGGGAUUUGCGCUGUA
Molecule: RNA transcript, 810 nt
Organism: Populus trichocarpa (black cottonwood)
Lineage: Eukaryota; Viridiplantae; Streptophyta; Magnoliopsida; Malpighiales; Salicaceae
Exons: 6
Source: RefSeq, a predicted model, not a curated record